AGUGUUAUAGCUUUGAAGCGCUAUAAAAGCGUUAUUUGUAAGCGCGUUUAAUACCCUUUAGAAUCAUUUGACAAAGAUCAAAAGCCCACAAAAAACAAGAACUAAUGAGAAUUAGGAUUGGAGUAAUAAUGGUGGCCACGACUGGACUUGAACCAGCGACCACUACCA
RNAcentral lists this antisense RNA (168 nucleotides) under Helicobacter pylori 98-10. RNAcentral describes it as "Bacterial antisense RNA HPnc0260". It matches the Rfam family "Bacterial antisense RNA HPnc0260". The record is from Rfam by way of RNAcentral. Lineage: Bacteria; Pseudomonadati; Campylobacterota; Epsilonproteobacteria; Campylobacterales; Helicobacteraceae.